GAUGAACGCUGGCGGCGUGCCUAAUACAUGCAAGUCGAGCGAACAGAUGAGGAGCUUGCUCCUCUGACGUUAGCGGCGGACGGGUGAGUAACACGUGGAUAACCUACCUAUAAGACUGGGAUAACUUCGGGAAACCGGAGCUAAUACCGGAUAAUAUAUUGAACCGCAUGGUUCAAUAGUGAAAGACGGUGUUGCUGGCACGUAUAGAUGGAUCCGCGCCGCAUUAGCUAGUUGGUAAGGUAAAGGCUUACCAAGGGAACGAUGCGUAGCCGACCUGUGAGGGUGAUCGCCCACCCUGGAACUGAGACGCGGUCCAGACUCCUGCGGGAGGCAGCAGUAGGGAAUCUUCCGCAGUGGGCGAAAGCCUGACGGAGCAACGCCGCGUGAGUGAUGAAGGUCUUCGGAUCGUAAAACUCUGUUAUUAGGGAAGAACAAAUGUGUAAGUAACUAUGCACGUCUUGACGGUACCUAAUCAGAAAGCCACGGCUAACUACGUG
This 497-nucleotide ribosomal RNA is filed under the name uncultured bacterium. RNAcentral describes it as "partial 16S ribosomal RNA". It matches the Rfam family "Bacterial small subunit ribosomal RNA", at positions 28 to 507 of the family's 1533-position model. The record is from RNAcentral.